This 253-nucleotide ribosomal RNA is filed under the name uncultured bacterium. RNAcentral's name for it is "partial 16S ribosomal RNA". It matches the Rfam family "Bacterial small subunit ribosomal RNA", at positions 524 to 776 of the family's 1533-position model. The record is from RNAcentral.
UACGGGGGGAGCAAGCGUUGUUCGGAUUUACUGGGCGUAAAGGGCGCGUAGGCGGCGUGACAAGUCACUUGUGAAAUCUCCGGGCUUAACUCGGAGCGGUCAAGUGAUACUGUCGUGCUAGAGUGCGGAAGGGGCUACUGGAAUUCUCGGUGUAGCGGUGAAAUGCGUAGAUAUCGAGAGGAACACCUGCGGCGAAGGCAAUCCCCUGGGCCUGCACUGACGCUCAUGCACGAAAGCGUGGGGAGCAAACAGG